Long non-coding RNA from Polypterus senegalus (gray bichir), 372 nucleotides. RefSeq lists it as uncharacterized. NCBI's taxonomy places the organism in Eukaryota, Metazoa, Chordata, Cladistia, Polypteriformes, Polypteridae. The transcript is spliced from 4 exons. The record is from RefSeq and is a predicted model, not a curated record.
UUUUAGCUUCCCAGAUGGGAUGUGGGUAGCAAGUCUCUGGUUUGUUAUUAUUAGACAGACACCUUUAUCCAAGGAAACUUACAACAUCUGAGAUUUCUUUUGCUUUUCAAAUAGGAGAUGAGAUGCUAUCAGAGAUGGAGCAAUUACAAGAUAUGUGAUUUGGACAUGGUCACAUCUGGGAACAGGAAGGGCACCAGAUGAUGAAUUAUACAUGAUAUGAUGCAUAAAGGAGGAGGACACAUACAUGAAUUGGAAGUUUAUUGUGGACAUCCCAUCCCAGUUUACAUCCAGAGCUGCUGGAUCAAAAGGGCGUGGAAAAUGAUGAGGUUUUCUAGUUUCCUGUGGUGGCGACGUGCGCCAUCACCACCUAAU